UACGUAGGGUGCAAGCGUUAUCCGGAUUCACUGGGGUUAAAGGGCGCGUAGGCGGCUUGCUAAGUCGAACGUGAAAUCCCCGAGCUCAACUCGGGAACUGCGUCCGAUACUGGCAGGCUUGAAUCCGGGAGAGGGAUGCGGAAUUCCAGGUGUAGCGGUGAAAUUCGUAGAUAUCGGGAGGAACACCAGUGGCGAAGGCGGCGAUCUGGGAAGAUACUGACGCUGAGGUGCGAAAGCGUGGGGAGCAAACAGG
Molecule: ribosomal RNA, 253 nt
Filed under: uncultured bacterium
Lineage: Bacteria
Description: partial 16S ribosomal RNA
Rfam family: Bacterial small subunit ribosomal RNA
Source: RNAcentral